This 441-nucleotide ribosomal RNA is filed under the name Myurella affinis. Its description in RNAcentral is "partial 16S ribosomal RNA". The stretch from base 125 to 441 matches the Rfam family "Bacterial large subunit ribosomal RNA", at positions 2048 to 2598 of the family's 2925-position model. The record is from RNAcentral. Lineage: Eukaryota; Metazoa; Mollusca; Gastropoda; Neogastropoda; Terebridae.
UUUUUUAACGGCCGCACUCACUCUGACCGUGCGUGGUNAAUAAUUUUUUGCCUUAUGUUGAAUGCUAUGANNGNNGGUUUGACUUGAACGUAACUGUCUCUUUUCAAUUUANUAGAAUUUUAUCUUGGGGNGAAAAAGCCUUGAUUCAAUUAUAAGACAAGAAGACCCUAUCGAGCUUUAAAGAAGUUGAUGGAUUAGAUUUUUAGUUUUAAAAAGCGUUACCAUCAUAAUAUUUUGGUUGGGGCGACUGAGGAACAUGUGAAGCUUCCUUUACGUGCGUGAUGAUCCAUGAUUAAAGGAAUUAGUUACCGUAGGGAUAACAGCAUUAUCCUUUUUGAUAUUUCUAAUCGAAAAAAGGGUUUGUGACCUCGAUGUUGGACCAGAAUAUCCUAAAGAUGCANAAGUCUUUAAGGGUUGGUCUGUUCGACCAUUAAAAUUCUA